CUCUCCCAGUUUAUUGGGAGUAGUCCCUGCCCGGUGAUUGAUUUUAAACGGCGGCGUUAAGUUUUAAAGUAGCAUAGUAAGUUGUCCCUUAAUUAGGGUCUGGUAUGAAUGGGUUGACGUGGGGAGGCUGUCUCAAAAGGAGUUAAUGAAGUUUUCAUCCUAGUGAAAAGCCUGGGAUACAUUUAAAAGACGAGAAGACCCCGUCGAGCUUGAUGAUCUUAUUAAGUUUUAAUUUGUAAAGUUUUGUUGGGGCAACAAGGGAGAAUUAUAACCUCCCGUAUUAGGCAUAGAUCCUCUGGUAGAGAUAAAAGGAAAAAGUUACCGCGGGGAUAACAGCGCAAAACCACCUGAGAGCUCGUAUUGAAGGUGGUACAUGCGACCUCGAUGUUGGAUUAAGGGAGCGGCCGUGCGCA
This 413-nucleotide ribosomal RNA is filed under the name Laevicardium crassum. Its description in RNAcentral is "partial 16S ribosomal RNA". It matches the Rfam family "Bacterial large subunit ribosomal RNA", at positions 1833 to 2557 of the family's 2925-position model. The record is from RNAcentral. Lineage: Eukaryota; Metazoa; Mollusca; Bivalvia; Cardiida; Cardiidae.